Molecule: long non-coding RNA, 754 nt
Filed under: Linum usitatissimum (flax)
Lineage: Eukaryota; Viridiplantae; Streptophyta; Magnoliopsida; Malpighiales; Linaceae
Description: long non-coding RNA (LUSI_LNC004971)
Source: RNAcentral
AAGGCAGCCAACUGAUGGAUAGUUAGGUAAAUAUCUUUACUCUCUAACUCUCACUCUCUGGAAAUCCGUGUGCAGAGACAGAAAGGACUAAAAAGAGGGGGGCUUUUGCUUUGGCUUUGGCUUUGGCUUUGGCUUUGGCUUUGGCUACUCUUAUGACAGAAGAUAUAAGGUGAGAAAAGUGAAGAAGGUGGGUGUCAUUUUCUAACAAAUUUUACAGUUAAUACUAUGUUAUCACAACAAAAUGCAUGGAAAGUAGAGGGGGGGGUGGGGAUAAAGCUGAAGGGAGCUUUAUUUGUAGUCAAAAUGGGAAGGAUAUGAGAAUGGGUAUUCGAGAUUUUCUAAGGGAAGAUGAUUGGUGAUUGGAAUUUUGGUGUGUAGGGUUUGUGGGGGAUUGGUAUUUGUGAGGUAAUGGGAAAAUGGCAGAAGGCAAAUGGUGGAGUGGGAAGAAGAAGAAGAAUACAAAGGAGGAGGAGAAUGUUAUCGUUUCUGACAUUGUUGCACUAAGUAAGGAGCAUUAUGAGUGUGAAUGAAGUGCACCAACUCAUCAACCCAUUAAGUUGACAGAGGGAAUACAGUGAUAUUGACUUUUUUGUUUCUUUAUGUUUGUUUUGGGGCAACUAUUCAUCAACACUUUGGGUCUCCAGGAGAAGCUAAAUUAACUGCCACUAGACUUCUCAUUUUUCUUUCUGUUGGAUUUGCUUGGUUCCUUUCUGAUGGUUGAAUUCGAGAGCGCAAAAUCUUCGUUUUUUUCGGG